This 345-nucleotide small nuclear RNA is filed under the name Ochotona princeps (American pika). RNAcentral's name for it is "7SK RNA (ENSOPRG00000021746.1)". It matches the Rfam family "7SK RNA". From Rfam's summary of the family: 7SK was discovered as an abundant small nuclear RNA in the mid-70s but a possible function has only recently been suggested. Lineage: Eukaryota; Metazoa; Chordata; Mammalia; Lagomorpha; Ochotonidae. The record is from RNAcentral.
GGAUGUGAGGGCUGUCUGACUGUGCCAUCUAUCACCCCAUUGAUCCCCAGGGUUGGUUCGGCUGAUAUGGCUGGCUAGGCAGGUGUCACCUUCCUCCCUCACCUCUCCAUGUGCAUCCCUCCCGAAGCUGAGCACUCGGUCAAAGAGAACUAUCACCCCCCAAUAGAGGAGGAACAGUCUUCGGUCAAAGGUGUACAAGUAGCUGUGCUCACCUGCUAGACCCUCCAAACAAGCUCUGAAACAAAUGGACAUUUGCUUUUUUCUCUCAUAACAAGAUUGGAGGAAUGCAGUCCCAGACUGGUCCAAAUGUGCAAAGAUUCCAAAGUCAGGGAUCCACUUGACCUU